This 538-nucleotide ribosomal RNA is filed under the name uncultured bacterium. RNAcentral's name for it is "bacterial SSU rRNA". It matches the Rfam family "Bacterial small subunit ribosomal RNA", at positions 355 to 895 of the family's 1533-position model. The record is from RNAcentral.
UGAGGAAUAUUGGUCAAUGGACGGAAGUCUGAACCAGCCAAGUAGCGUGCAGGAUGACGGCCCUAUGGGUUGUAAACUGCUUUUGUAUGGGGAUAAAGUUAGGGACGUGUCCCUAUUUGCAGGUACCAUACGAAUAAGGACCGGCUAAUUCCGUGCCAGCAGCCGCGGUAAUACGGAAGGUCCAGGCGUUAUCCGGAUUUAUUGGGUUUAAAGGGAGCGUAGGCUGGAGAUUAAGUGUGUUGUGAAAUGUAGACGCUCAACGUCUGAAUUGCAGCGCAUACUGGUUUCCUUGAGUACGCACAACGUUGGCGGAAUUCGUCGUGUAGCGGUGAAAUGCUUAGAUAUGACGAAGAACUCCGAUUACGAAGGCAGCUGACGGGAGCGCAACUGACGCUUAAGCUCGAAGGUGCGGGUAUCAAACAGGAUUAGAUACCCUGGUAGUCCGCACAGUAAACGAUGGAUGCCCGCUGUUGGUACCUGGUAUCAGCGGCUAAGCGAAAGCAUUAAGCAUCCCACCUGGGGAGUACGCCGGNNCGGU